GACGAAGGUGGCGAGCGUUGUUCGGUGUCACUGGGCUUAAAGCGUGUGUAGGCGGAAAAGUAAGCGUCUUGUGAAAUCCCCCGGCUUAACCGGGGAACUGCACGACGAACUGCUUUUCUUGAGGCAAGUAGGGGUGCAUGGAACUCUUGGUGGAGCGGUGGAAUGCGUAGAUAUCAAGAGGAACGCCGGAGGUGAAAACGGUGCACUGGGCUUGUCCUGACGCUGAGACACGAAAGCGUGGGGAGCGAACGGGAUUAGAUACCCCCGUA
RNAcentral lists this ribosomal RNA (269 nucleotides) under uncultured prokaryote. RNAcentral describes it as "partial 16S ribosomal RNA". It matches the Rfam family "Bacterial small subunit ribosomal RNA", at positions 524 to 792 of the family's 1533-position model. The record is from RNAcentral.